UAUAGCUUGACACUGAACAUUGAGCCUUGAUGUGUAGGAUAGGUGGGAGGCUUUGAAGCGUGGACGCCAGUCUGCGUGGAGCCGACCUUGAAAUACCACCCUUUAAUGUUUGAUGUUCUAACGUGGACCCGUAAUCCGGGUUGCGGACAGUGUCUGGUGGGUAGUUUGACUGGGGCGGUCUCCUCCUAAAGAGUAACGGAGGAGCACGAAGGUUGGCUAAUCCUGGUCGGACAUCAGGAGGUUAGUGCAAUGGCA
RNAcentral lists this ribosomal RNA (255 nucleotides) under Salmonella enterica subsp. enterica serovar Infantis. Its description in RNAcentral is "partial 23S ribosomal RNA". It matches the Rfam family "Bacterial large subunit ribosomal RNA", at positions 2105 to 2359 of the family's 2925-position model. Lineage: Bacteria; Pseudomonadati; Pseudomonadota; Gammaproteobacteria; Enterobacterales; Enterobacteriaceae. The record is from RNAcentral.